UGCGGAGGAUGCAAGCGUUAUCCGGAAUUAUUGGGCGUAAAGCGUCCGUAGGUGGUUGAGUAAGUCAGUUGUUAAAGCGUGGAGCUUAACUCCAUAACGGCAAUUGAAACUACUCGGCUAGAGUGCGAUAGGGGCAAGGGGAAUUCCCAGUGUAGCGGUGAAAUGCGUAGAUAUCAGGAGGAACACCAGCGGUGUAGACGGCUUUCUGGACCAUUGCUGACGCUGAGACACGAAAGCGUGGGUAGCAAACAGG
Molecule: ribosomal RNA, 253 nt
Filed under: uncultured bacterium
Lineage: Bacteria
Description: partial 16S ribosomal RNA
Rfam family: Bacterial small subunit ribosomal RNA
Source: RNAcentral